Molecule: long non-coding RNA, 4094 nt
Filed under: Gossypium barbadense (sea-island cotton)
Lineage: Eukaryota; Viridiplantae; Streptophyta; Magnoliopsida; Malvales; Malvaceae
Description: long non-coding RNA (GBAR_LNC023560)
Source: RNAcentral
AAGUUAUGGCAACUUAAUCUACCAGCAAAGAUAAAGAUCACAAAUUGGCGAGUUUUCCAGAACUUAAUUUCUACUUUUAACAAUUUACAUUACAGAAAAAUAGUUGGUUCAAUAACUUGUCCCAGAUGCUCCAAUGGAGUUGAAAAACUUAGAACAUAUUUUCCCAGAUUACUCCAAUGCAAAGGAAAUAUAGCAUGAGUGUAACACCCAUACUCGGCCUGGACGCCAAGCUGAAUAUCGAGAUGCCACACCACCGUCUCACUACUUGUUCAUCUAAAACGACAUGUUAUUUCUCAUGCAAUUUUUUCGAUCAAUAAUAACGUAGCAUUUCAUGAAUUAUAAACCAUACAUUCACUUUUUGUUGAUAAAUCAUACCAAGAAUUCAUAAAAUAGCAUAACAUAGGUAUUAAUCGUGUGUUAGGACCACUUAUCAAAAUUUCCCAAAAAUGUUACGUCGGUAUCGAUACCGUCUCUAUGAUAUCGAUAUUUUCUUUAAGUGGUAUCGAUACCACCUGGAAAACUGAUACCACACUAGUAUUCUAUUUCUCGCCAAAUUUCAAAACAUCGGAAAAUAUCGGUACCUUUAGUAAAUCGAUAGUUACACCCCGAGUAUCAAUACUCGGGUCAAUGUAUCAAUACCAAAUUGGUAUUCUGACUCCCUGCACUUUCGAAAAUAUAGAGGUACCAUUUUAAAAGCAUUAAUAUCGAUACAUCUACUUUAGGUUACAAAAAUUUAGCAUAUAGGAGCAUUUAAAUAAUUCAAACUUAGUCCCUAAACAUCAUGCUUCAUUCACCUAGCCAUAUAAGCAUCAAAAUGUCUAAACAAUAAACCCAACACCAUGUCCAAGUUCACAAGCUUCCAAACAUACACAAUAUACAAAUAAUUCCAAAUACGUCUUAACAAAACCGAUAUAAAUGUCUACCACAUUGCCUUUUUAUUCCCUAGAACUAGAAUAAGCAAAACACCUACUAUAAUGAAUAAAGAAUCGUUUGGAUCGAUCCCUCGACAGCCACACCGCUCACACUAAGAACGCAACUACUUUGCAAAGGAUAAAAUGGAGUGGAUGAGCUUAACAAGCUCAGUGAAUGCCUAGAACAACCACUACACAAACAAGUCGUCAUGCAUCAACCAAACCACAUACAACAUAUUCCCAAAGCAUCAUUAACCAAGUGUCAUAAUUCACAUAUUUAGUUAUAUUCCAUGUAUUUUUUUACACCUUAUCUAUACAAACGUUUAGGAAUACAUAUAUACAUAUAUUCCAACACAUAUCAAUCACAUUUAGUCACAGUAUAUGAUAAAUUGGCUCUUGAGUUUACGAAACUUAAAGCGGACUCUAUCACCACUUAUUGGAUACACGGAUCUCCAACACACCACACAUAGACUCGUAGAGUCAAACAUAUCCCAUAAGCGAAACAUAUAGCUAAUGCUCUCCAACACACCGCACAUAUAUAUCCCAGUGAAUGGAGUUUGGCUCAUAUUCCCUUAUCUCUCCAAAACUGUCCCUAGGCCUCAUCGCCUCAUAUAUCACAACACAUAUAUAUGAGAACCCACAAUCUUAUGAAAUGCCAACUAUAUCCAAUGGUCUCAUUAAGUCACAAGGCCAAAAUAUCCUUAGCUAAUGCUCUCUAACACACCACACAUAUAUAUCCCAGUGAAUGGAGCUUGGCUCACAUUCCCUUAUCUCUCCAAAACUGUCCCUAGGCCUCAUCGCCCCAUAUAUCAUAACACAUAUAUAUAAGAACUCACAAUCCUAUGAAAUGUCAACUAUAUCCAAUGGUCUCAUUAAGUCACAAGGCCAAAAUAUCCAUAUUGUCAUCAAAUAUUACUUACCGAUUAUCCGCACAUAUUCACUGAAUAAUAAUAUCAUUAGCACAUUAUACACACGGUUACAUUACAUGAAUGACAUGCCCUUAUAUUUACCGUUACAAUAGUCAUCAAAAUAUGUUCAUAUUUCAUCACAUCAUAAUUCUCUUUAUCACAGUUCAUAGACAUAUUUAUCACAUAUCUAGAAUAGGUAAAAAAACACUUACAUUCGGAACUUAGAGAAGGGGUUUUGACUACCUCUAAAUUCCCAAAUACACAACGAAUCAUCUACGAGCAGCGAUUCUAAAACACUCACCAAAAUAUUCGCUUUUACCAAAAAGUUGAAAGUUUAGACAUGCUUCCCUUUGCCUUUAUCUCUACUCGUUGAAGGUCCUAUCGGCUCUGACACUUCAACAAGGCAAACCACACAUAUAUUCAGUCAACAAACAAUCAAUAACUCACCUCAAACAGCCACAAACACAAGCCUAAGCUACAUUAUUUUCUAACCAAAACCUUUAGCACGACAAACUUAAAAUUUGAAUAACUCAGUCUACGCUUAAUAUUUUCACAAAAAAUGAAUUCCAUUCAUCUACAUAUUCAUCAACGACCAAUUCCCAACCUUUAAGCUACACAAAACUACACUUUUUAAGAUAUUGAAAUUUUUCGACAAGUUUUGGCCAUUACAAUAAAAAAUUAUUAAAACCUGAUAAAUACUUGACAAAAUUUCAAAAUUACUUUAGAAAGCUUCUAAUUAAGUUAAACUAAUUGAAAAACACUUUAAAACCAAGUUUUUAUCCACAAACUCGAAAUUCACCAUUAAAGAUCUGAUUUUCGGCUUUUAAUCAAAACAUGCGAUUUAACGGCUAAAAAUUAAGUUUAAAAAACUAAAUAACAUUUAAAACUAAUGGAUAGACGAUUGGUUACCUUCAACGAAAGAAAAAUAGAGAUUUGACGCGAACUUGAGAAAACCUACACUUGAGGAAGAUGAUGAAAUUGGUGAGAUUUUUGGGUAAUUUCUUGAAGAUUUGUGAAGGUUUAAUAUUUGGAAAUGAUAGGAAUUCAAAGUAUCAUAGUUUGAGAGUCAAAAAUCAAUUGAAAGAGUAAGGAAUAGCAAGUGAUGAAAAAACUAAUGAGAUAAGAAGAACAAUUCGUGAAAUUAACUGGGAAUGGGUGUUUAUUAGGUUGAUUUUGAAAAAUUGGUUUAAUUUCUUCAUAAAGACUCACAGAUUUGACCCUUUUACAAAUUAGUCCAUUUUCUAAAGUUAAAGACGUUUAAAACUCGUUUCCAAAAAUUGAAUUAACUUUAUGAAAACCAUUGUCGAAAAUAUUAUCGAGUACCAACCUUACAAAAUUCCAAACUCAUAUAGGCCAAAAUUCUUAAAAUACCCCUAAAACUCUUAGGCCCUAUUUUGGGGUGUGACAAUGAGUUAAAUAUUCAACGGCCCCUCUGAAGUCUCAAACUUAGAUUAUAAGGAGUGAUUGCCAUAUAUUUUUUCGAAUCAUUCAAAUUACCAUUGCAAGAUCAUGGCUUGUACAAUUUGGACAAUAUGGACAAUAAGAAAUAAAGCAAUUCAUGAAGGGAACAGACGGGCAAUUCAAGACACAGCCCAUUUAAUCAUUUCAUAUAUUCGAGAAUUAGAUGCAAUCAACCAAAAAUUACCUGUUAUGAGGAUGGAGACUAAAUGAUGGAGGCCGUCAGAGAUUCCUUUUGCAAAGAUUAAUUAUGAUGUUGCUUUUUAAAACCAUACAAAGAGGUCCUGUACGGGGAUUGUGGUUAAAAACUCGAAUGGUUUGGUGUUAGGAUCAAGAAUGAUACUAAAUAAUCACAUACCUGCGACUUUUGCUGUGAAGGCUUUUGCAUGCUUCCAAGCGGUUCAAAUGGGUCUUGAUUUGGGCUUUCUGAAGGUGGAGAUUGAAGGUGAUGCACUCACAGUGGUGAAAAAGCUUCAUGCAAAUAGGCAAGAGAGAUCAAAAUUUAGUGCAUAUAUAUUAUGGAUUCAAGAUCACUUACUGAGAAUUAUCGAAGAUGUAUUUUAGACAUGCACUGAGACAGGGGAACGGAGUAGCACAUCUCUUAACUACAGAAGGAAAAAGGAGAGGAGAAACGACUUAUCAGUUAGAAGAAAUACCUCUGUUUGUUGCUGAUGCAGUGGAGAGAGACCGAUGGUUGACAGACCCGCUAGAUUAGAUUAUGUUCGUCGGUUGCUUGAAAAUAGUCCCUAAAAUUUGCUUAAUCUCAAGGGACGAUAAUGAUUUAGAUAAACUCCUAUUUUCAUUGCUUUCUGAUGCU